CGGCAACAGCUCAAAUUUGAAAUCUGGCUCCUUCGGGGCCCGAGUUGUAAUUUGCAGAGGAUGCUUCGGGUGCGGGUACCUACUGAGUUCCCUGGAACGGGACGCCAUAGAGGGUGAGAGCCCCGUCUGGUAGGACACCCAGCCCAUGUGAAGCUCCCUCGAC
This 163-nucleotide ribosomal RNA is filed under the name Furcasterigmium furcatum. Its description in RNAcentral is "partial large subunit ribosomal RNA". It matches the Rfam family "Eukaryotic large subunit ribosomal RNA", at positions 99 to 261 of the family's 3401-position model. The record is from RNAcentral. Lineage: Eukaryota; Fungi; Ascomycota; Sordariomycetes; Glomerellales; Plectosphaerellaceae.